This 253-nucleotide ribosomal RNA is filed under the name uncultured bacterium. RNAcentral's name for it is "partial 16S ribosomal RNA". It matches the Rfam family "Bacterial small subunit ribosomal RNA", at positions 524 to 776 of the family's 1533-position model. The record is from RNAcentral.
UACGAAGGGUGCGAGCGUUGUUCGGAAUUACUGGGCGUAAAGGGUUCGUAGGCUGGAAUGCAAGUCAAGUGUGAAAUCCCCAGGCUUAACCUGGGACGUGCAUUUGAGACUGUGUUUCUUGAGUUUCGGAGAGGGUGGUGGAAUUGCUGGUGUAGGAGUGACAUCCGUAGAGAUCAGCAGGAACACCGGAGGCGAAGGCGACCACCUGGCCGAAAACUGACGCUGAGGAACGAAAGCGUGGGGAGCAAACAGG